Molecule: long non-coding RNA, 1020 nt
Filed under: Monodelphis domestica (gray short-tailed opossum)
Lineage: Eukaryota; Metazoa; Chordata; Mammalia; Didelphimorphia; Didelphidae
Description: lncRNA (ENSMODG00000042771.1)
Source: RNAcentral
AGAGAGUUUUGUUAUAAAAACGUUCUCCCCGUUUAUUGCAUUCUGUAUGUACUUUGGAUCUUCUUGAAGCCGGUGAUCAUCUCAUUGUUAUCCUUCCAACGCCAUUUCUGAAAACUGCAAUAUUUAUCUUUCAUUUCGGAGGUGUUUGCCUGGUUCUUCUCUCUAAUCUCUCAAGUAUUACAUCUAUCAGCCAACCCACCAAUCAGUAACCAUUUAUUAAUACUUUGCUAUGUGCUUGGCAGUAUUCUUGGUGUGGGGACACAGAGUUUACUUUCAUCCUCUGUCCAUCUUCCAGGUUUUCCACUCCCAAGAAUGCAGUUCAUCUGGAGCUGCUCACUUGGGCUCAGGAAGGGCUGAUAGGCACUAUUUUCCCAUCUGCUUGUCACCUUGCCGUAAUUCAGCCCUUAUUGCUUUGGGCCAUUCCAGGCUGCAGGUCACCCUUUUUGACAGAUUAGAAGUGAGAAUUGAUGGGUUUUUCUUCUUCCUCAUUUUUGGCUGGCGCUGUCCCACUGACCCCCAGCCAGGAGUCCUUUUCUUCCUCUUUCCAUCAGUCUGGUAAAGACAAGCAAACCCUGUCUGUUAGCCUUCUCUUCACUGGCUUGCUCCUGAUCAUUGGACCCUGGAGGUCUUAAGACCUUCAUUGUGUCUUCAGAGUUGGCUCAUGACAGUGUUCUAUUCACCCUCUAUUACCCCAAAGAGGAAAGAUCUUCUCCCAAGUUGGGCUUGUGGGGGUGGGGCAAGAGCACCCCCAGGACUCCUGCCAGGAUCAGGACAAGAUUCAGACUUCCACAAACAGCAGCCCCAAGCUUCAUGUCUCUUGGAAAUAUUACCCAGCAUCACUCAGCAGUUAGUAAGUGACUACUCAGAAAUGAGCCGGUUGUGGGAGAGGGGAGGGACACUUUUAGCCACGGCCACAGAUGACUACUUACUCCCCCAUUUUGACUGAGCUAUUAUCAAUCACAUGGGAUGUUCUCGAAGCAGUGACUAACACGCUACAAAGGGGCCAUUGCUGCCCAUGUG